This 231-nucleotide non-coding RNA is filed under the name Bacillus sp. (in: firmicutes). RNAcentral's name for it is "Bacillus sp. T-box sequence". It matches the Rfam family "T-box leader". Rfam says of the family: Uncharged tRNA acts as the effector for transcription antitermination of genes in the T-box leader family. T-boxes are found upstream of many aminoacyl-tRNA synthetase genes and some amino acid biosynthetic genes usually in Gram-positive bacteria. Lineage: Bacteria; Bacillati; Bacillota; Bacilli; Caryophanales; Bacillaceae. RNAcentral also lists the same sequence under 1 other name. The record is from RNAcentral.
AUAAAGGCAGUGACGAAGAAGAGUACCUUAAUGAUGUUCUGCAGAGAGCCAGUGGUUGCUGAAAACUGGUGAACGAAAUUAAGCGAAUGGACUUCCGAGCCCCAAACCGAAACGGAUGAACGGAGUAGGCUUUGGCGAUUAUCUCAUCGUUAAUGGAGAUAGGCAUGUUAAUGCCGUAAAGUGAGCUAAUUUAGCUAAUUAAGGUGGUACCACGGGUUCCUCGUCCUUUGG